GUGUUUGCUUUGACAGCACAUAUACAAAAAUUGGGCAAUAGAGAGAAGACUAGCCUGGUCUCUGCUCAAGGAUGACAUUCACAUUCAUGAGAUGUUUCAUUUUUUU
This is a small nuclear RNA of Marmota marmota marmota (Alpine marmot), 106 nucleotides long. Lineage: Eukaryota; Metazoa; Chordata; Mammalia; Rodentia; Sciuridae. The record is from Ensembl.